RNAcentral lists this unclassified non-coding RNA (203 nucleotides) under Hevea brasiliensis (rubber tree). The record is from RNAcentral. Lineage: Eukaryota; Viridiplantae; Streptophyta; Magnoliopsida; Malpighiales; Euphorbiaceae.
UUUUGAAGUGGUCACUGGAGCUCUCACUUUUGUGGCACCUCUACACGUUGUCACUAAAAGUUGUUGCAGAAAACCACAGUUCUUGUAGUGUGGGUUGUACUUCCAUGUCGAGGAAGACAAGAAAGAGUUAGCGAAAGAUAUAAGCACAAUUGCACGAUUGGGAGUCCAGUUAAUAUUUCCAACGAAGGUGGAGUCGGUUAAUG